RNAcentral lists this ribosomal RNA (498 nucleotides) under uncultured bacterium. RNAcentral describes it as "partial 16S ribosomal RNA". It matches the Rfam family "Bacterial small subunit ribosomal RNA", at positions 32 to 507 of the family's 1533-position model. The record is from RNAcentral.
UCAACGCUGGCGGCGUGCCUACCACAUGCAAGUCGAACGCGAAAGCCCCGCAAGGGGUCAGUAGAGUGGCAAACGGGUGAGUAACACGUGGGUGACCUGCCUUCGAGUGGGGGAUAACGUCCCGAAAGGGACGCUAAUACCGCAUGACAUCCUGCUUUUGAAAAAGCGGAGAUCAAAGCUGGGGAUCGCAAGACCUAGCGCUUGAAGAGGGGCCCGCGCCUGAUUAGCUAGUUGGUGAGGUAACGGCUCACCAAGGCGACGAUCAGUAUCCGGCCUGAGAGGGCGGACGGACACACUGGGACUGAGACACGGCCCAGACUCCUACGGGAGGCAGCAGUGGGGAAUUGUUCGCAAUGGGCGCAAGCCUGACGACGCAACGCCGCGUGGAGGACGAAGAUCUUCGGGUCGUAAACUCCUGUCGAGCGGGACGAACGCUUCGCGGAUGAAUAAUCCGCGGAAUUGACGGUACCGCUAAAGGAAGCCCCGGCUAACUCCGUG